This 435-nucleotide ribosomal RNA is filed under the name uncultured bacterium. Its description in RNAcentral is "bacterial SSU rRNA". It matches the Rfam family "Bacterial small subunit ribosomal RNA", at positions 954 to 1392 of the family's 1533-position model. The record is from RNAcentral.
AUGGGAACGCGAAGAACCUUACCUACCCUUGACAUGGCAGGAAUCCUGGAGAGAUCUGGGAGUGCUCGAAAGGGAACCUGCACACAGGUGCUGCAUGGCUGUCGUCAGCUCGUGUCGUGAGAUGUUGGGUUAAGUCCCGCAACGAGCGCAACCCUUGUCAUUAGUUGCUACGAAAGGGCACUCUAAUGAGACUGCCGGUGACAAACCGGAGGAAGGUGGGGAUGACGUCAAGUCCUCAUGGCCCUUAUGGGUAGGGCUUCACACGUCAUACAAUGGUACAUACAGAGGGCCGCCAACCCGCGAGGGGGAGCUAAUCCCAGAAAGUGUAUCGUAGUCCGGAUUGCAGUCUGCAACUCGACUGCAUGAAGUUGGAAUCGCUAGUAAUCGCGGAUCAGCAUGUCGCGGUGAAUACGUUCCCGGGUCUUGUACACACCG